RNAcentral lists this ribosomal RNA (199 nucleotides) under Sarax sp. LP 11594. RNAcentral's name for it is "partial small subunit ribosomal RNA". The record is from RNAcentral. Lineage: Eukaryota; Metazoa; Arthropoda; Arachnida; Amblypygi; Charinidae.
AGUAAGAGGUGAUCUUGAAACUUAAAAUAUUUGGCGGUUUUCCAGUCUGGUUAGAGGAAUUUGUUCUGUAAUCGAUGGUCCUCGGUAGAUUUAACUUUUAAUUUAAAUAUCGCCGUCGACGACAGGUCAAGAUUUAGCUUAUGUAAGAGGUUGAAAGUGGAUUUAAAAGUAUAGUGGUAAAUUGGGCUCUGGGGAAUGU